GGAAUAUAAGAAACCGUCUCUUAACUUUUAACUAAAAAAAACUAAGAACCCGCUUAAAUAUCUUAUUUAAGAACCGAUUCUUAGUUUUUUUAGUUAAAAGUUAAGGGACAAUUUCUUAUAUUCC
Molecule: non-coding RNA, 124 nt
Organism: Brassica rapa (field mustard)
Lineage: Eukaryota; Viridiplantae; Streptophyta; Magnoliopsida; Brassicales; Brassicaceae
Source: Rfam